CAAUAGCGUAUAUUAAAGUUGUUGCAGUUAAAAAGCUCGUAGUUGACACCUUGAGUAAAUCAGAGUGCUUAAAGCAGUCGUUGCAACACUACGGCUGCGACUUACCCUCGCGGGCUUAGUCGUAUGUCUGGUGACGUCGAAAGACGUUUGGACAUUGUCUUUGCUUUGCAUGGUACGUCGGAAGACGCCGUGUGAGUUGGUUGUGCUUACGGUGUGACACACCUCGUGUGUGCGCGUGCGCCAACGAGCACGGAAUGAAUCGAAAGGGAUGGAUCGAAGGCAUUGGUAUUGCGAGGCGAGAGGUGAAAUUCUAUGACCCUCGCAAGACUUCCCGAAGCGAAAGCGUCUGCCUAGGACGUCUUCAUUAAUCAUGAACGAAAGUUGAAGGAU
RNAcentral lists this ribosomal RNA (390 nucleotides) under Arthropoda sp. MM01576. RNAcentral's name for it is "SSU rRNA". It matches the Rfam family "Eukaryotic small subunit ribosomal RNA", at positions 592 to 998 of the family's 1831-position model. The record is from RNAcentral. Lineage: Eukaryota; Metazoa; Arthropoda.